GAUGAACGCUGGCGGCGUGCCUAAUACAUGCAAGUCGAGCGAACGGACGAGAAGCUUGCUUCUCUGAUGUUAGCGGCGGACGGAUGAGUAACACGUGGAUAACCUACCUAUAAGACUGGGAUAACUUCGGGAAACCGGAGCUAAUACCGGAUAAUAUUUUGAACCGCAUGGUUCAAAAGUGAAAGACGGUCUUGCUGUCACUUAUAGAUGGAUCCGCGCUGCAUUAGCUAGUUGGUAAGGUAACGGCUUACCAAGGCAACGAUGCAUAGCCGACCUGAGAGGGUGAUCGGCCACACUGGAACUGAGACACGGUCCAGACUCCUACGGGAGGCAGCAGUAGGGAAUCUUCCGCAAUGGGCGAAAGCCUGACGGAGCAACGCCGCGUGAGUGAUGAAGGUCUUCGGAUCGUAAAACUCUGUUAUUAGGGAAGAACAUAUGUGUAAGUAACUGCGCACAUCUUGACGGUACCUAAUCAGAAAGCCACGGCUAACUACGUGCCAGCAGCCGCGGUAAUACGUAGGUGGCAAGCGUUAUCCGGAAUUAUUGGGCGUAAAGCGCGCGUAGGCGGUUUUUUAAGUCUGAUGUGAAAGCCCACGGCUCAACCGUGGAGGGUCAUUGGAAACUGGAAAACUUGAGUGCAGAAGAGGAAAGUGGAAUUCCAUGUGUAGCGGUGAAAUGCGCAGAGAUAUGGAGGAACACCAGUGGCGAAGGCGACUUUCUGGUCUGUAACUGACGCUGAUGUGCGAAAGCGUGGGGAUCAAACAGGAUUAGAUACCCUGGUAGUCCACGCCGUAAACGAUGAGUGCUAAGUGUUAGGGGGUUUCCGCCCCUUAGUGCUGCAGCUAACGCAUUAAGCACUCCGCCUGGGGAGUACGACCGCAAGGUUGAAACUCAAAGGAAUUGACGGGGACCCGCACAAGCGGUGGAGCAUGUGGUUUAAUUCGAAGCAACGCGAAGAACCUUACCAAAUCUUGACAUCCUUUGACAACUCUAGAGAUAGAGCUUUCCCCUUCGGGGGACAAAGUGACAGGUGGUGCAUGGUUGUCGUCAGCUCGUGUCGUGAGAUGUUGGGUUAAGUCCCGCAACGAGCGCAACCCUUAAGCUUAGUUGCCAUCAUUAAGUUGGGCACUCUAAGUUGACUGCCGGUGACAAACCGGAGGAAGGUGGGGAUGACGUCAAAUCAUCAUGCCCCUUAUGAUUUGGGCUACACACGUGCUACAAUGGACAAUACAAAGGGCAGCGAAACCGCGAGGUCAAGCAAAUCCCAUAAAGUUGUUCUCAGUUCGGAUUGUAGUCUGCAACUCGACUACAUGAAGCUGGAAUCGCUAGUAAUCGUAGAUCAGCAUGCUACGGUGAAUACGUCCCCGGGUCU
This 1372-nucleotide ribosomal RNA is filed under the name uncultured bacterium. RNAcentral's name for it is "bacterial SSU rRNA". It matches the Rfam family "Bacterial small subunit ribosomal RNA", at positions 28 to 1381 of the family's 1533-position model. The record is from RNAcentral.